Molecule: ribosomal RNA, 219 nt
Filed under: uncultured bacterium
Lineage: Bacteria
Description: partial 16S ribosomal RNA
Rfam family: Bacterial small subunit ribosomal RNA
Source: RNAcentral
UAAUGUAUGGGGAUCUGCCCGAUAGAGGGGGAUAACUACUGGAAACGGUGGCUAAUACCGCAUAAUGUCACGGACCAAAGCAGGGGCUCUUCGGACCUUGCACUAUCGGAUGAACCCAUAUGGGAUUAGCUAGUAGGUGGGGUAAAGGCUCACCUAGGCGACGAUCUCUAGCUGGUCUGAGAGGAUGAUCAGCCACACUGGGACUGAGACACGGCCCAG